AUACAUGCAGUAGAACGCUGAGGAGGAGCUUGCUCUUCUGGAUGAGUUGCGAACGGGUGAGUAACGCGUAGGUAACCUGCCUGGUAGCGGGGGAUAACUAUUGGAAACGAUAGCUAAUACCGCAUAACAGUAGAUGUUGCAUGACAUUUACUCAAAAGGUGCAAUUGCAUCACUACCAGAUGGACCUGCGUUGUAUUAGCUAGUUGGUGGGGUAACGGCUCACCAAGGCGACGAUACAUAGCCGACCUGAGAGGGUGAUCGGCCACACUGGGACUGAGACACGGCCCAGACUCCUACGGGAGGCAGCAGUAGGGAAUCUUCGGCAAUGGACGGAAGUCUGACCGAGCAACGCCGCGUGAGUGAAGAAGGUUUUCGGAUCGUAAAGCUCUGUUGUAAGAGAAGAACGAGUGUGAGAGUGGAAAGUUCACACUGUGACGGUAUCUUACCAGAAAGGGACGGCUAACUACGUGCCAGCAGCCGCGGUAAUACGUAGGUCCCGAGCGUUGUCCGGAUUUAUUGGGCGUAAAGCGAGCGCAGGCGGUUAGAUAAGUCUGAAGUUAAAGGCUGUGGCUUAACCAUAGUACGCUUUGGAAACUGUUUAACUUGAGUGCAAGAGGGGAGAGUGGAAUUCCAUGUGUAGCGGUGAAAUGCGUAGAUAUAUGGAGGAACACCGGUGGCGAAAGCGGCUCUCUGGCUUGUAACUGACGCUGAGGCUCGAAAGCGUGGGGAGCAAACAGGAUUAGAUACCUGGGGU
This 754-nucleotide ribosomal RNA is filed under the name Streptococcus mitis. RNAcentral's name for it is "bacterial SSU rRNA". It matches the Rfam family "Bacterial small subunit ribosomal RNA", at positions 51 to 792 of the family's 1533-position model. Lineage: Bacteria; Bacillati; Bacillota; Bacilli; Lactobacillales; Streptococcaceae. The record is from RNAcentral.